This 30-nucleotide non-coding RNA is filed under the name Mus musculus (house mouse). Lineage: Eukaryota; Metazoa; Chordata; Mammalia; Rodentia; Muridae. The record is from RNAcentral.
UGCCUAGAAGUGGUGUCUCCUUUGAGGACU